This 86-nucleotide transfer RNA is filed under the name Dysgonamonadaceae bacterium. RNAcentral's name for it is "tRNA-Tyr". It matches the Rfam family "tRNA". From Rfam's summary of the family: Transfer RNA (tRNA) molecules are approximately 80 nucleotides in length. The record is from RNAcentral. Lineage: Bacteria; Pseudomonadati; Bacteroidota; Bacteroidia; Bacteroidales; Dysgonomonadaceae.
GGGCAGUUACCAGAGUGGCCAAAUGGGACUGACUGUAACUCAGUUGAUUUACAUCUUCGGUGGUUCGAAUCCAUCACUGCCCACCA